CCUCCCUUCGUUGGCAUGUCUGGGGCUCUUUUCCCCUCCUGUUGAGGUAAGAUGGUGUGUCUGGCAGCUGUCCGCUCCACGCGAUUUGUCCAGCCUUUACUGAAUGCCCACAGUGUCCUGGGCCUGGGUGCAGAGUUAGGGGAACAGCUCCUUCAGCAGUGUCAGCACAAACCAGGGCCAAAGUCAAGGAAAACUAGGCAAGAAUACAGGAAAAGAGAGAAAGAAAGAAGGAAAGCACGCCCUUCCACUCCAUACCCUUCAGGCUUGGUUCUCACAGAAGCCUGGCUCUGCAGGAAGGCGACAAUGGAAGUUCUCCAGAGAGAAGGCGUCUCCUUCUAAUCCUGCACCCCGCACCCGAGUUAUCCCCACAAACCAGAACACAUUUACUCCCAGAAGAUGCUGUUUGUUGAAAUGGGGAGCUGGAGGAAGCAGGGCCAACGGGGCAGGAGAGAGGGGCAGGUCUGAAGAAAAUGUAGACAGAAAUGCCUCCAUGGGAAAUACAGCCUCAUGGGGAUCGAGAAAGGAAUUUAUUUCUUCACAAAGCUUACCAAGCAGCCUGGCUGGGAGCCAUUUGGCAGUUUCUCCAGCAGGAAACUUCUGGAGAAGCAACAGGGCCCCCUCCUCAUGCUACAGGACCAGACUGAGGGAGCUCAGUCUCUCAGUUCCUGCCCUGGGUAACCUCACAGACAGGGUGCAUCCUGGAGGUGCACAGGGCAGCUCCCCAGCUGACCCUCCAGUGACUGAGGAGCUUGCCAGGCAAGGUGAAUGGCCUAAACCUGAGCUGUUCAGUUUGGGAUUGCAGGGGCUCACAAUGCCCCCAGAUAAGCAUGCUAUAUGUGGACCACCAGUUUUACCCAAGGAGCUUUUGUGUGUGUGUGUUGGGGGGGAGGGGGUGGUUGGGUGGAUUUCUUUUGAAAUAAACAUGAAUGUUUUAUGGAACAAAAUGUAAAACUUGCAUGAUUUUUUAAUAUUAAAGUGAC
RNAcentral lists this long non-coding RNA (980 nucleotides) under Equus caballus (horse). RNAcentral's name for it is "lncRNA (ENSECAG00000047874.1)". The record is from RNAcentral. Lineage: Eukaryota; Metazoa; Chordata; Mammalia; Perissodactyla; Equidae.